Molecule: long non-coding RNA, 1089 nt
Organism: Bombus impatiens (common eastern bumble bee)
Lineage: Eukaryota; Metazoa; Arthropoda; Insecta; Hymenoptera; Apidae
Exons: 2
Source: RefSeq, a predicted model, not a curated record
UAUAUGAGUAAGUGAAAUUACUCAGAAUAAUGAUCUUAAUAACAUAUGUCAGAAUUAAUGAAACCAUUAAGAAAGGUACCUCAUCUUUGAUUCUGAUAAUUUUGAAAUAUGUUAUAGAUAUCAAUAUUUUGAACUACUAUUUCUUAUACACAUAACCAGCGGUCGACCUUAGCAUUUGAGAUAUUCUAAAAAAAACUGCUGAUAUCACUACAGUGUGUUUCAGUCUAUAGUUGUAAAUCUGUGCCAACGUGUGCGUCAGUAUUGAUUACUAGGUAUUUAUCUUCUGUUCAUAAACGGGUAUUUAUAAAUAUGUACAGUUGUAUGAAACCCAAACCCAAUUAAUGUACAUUAAUGGUAUUCAUUUUUAAUUGAGUUGUAACAAACAUUUCUUACAGCCUUGUAUAUGCAAUUGUGCACGGGACCUAUAAAUAAAUAACUAAUAGCAGUUGGUGACCAGCAAUAUUCACACAUACGUUAUAGAAUGUACUAUAUACAAAAUAAUUCAAUGUGCUCUAAAAAGAACCGGCAAUUUUUCGCGAAUAUCUCGGAAACUAAGCGAGCUCAGCUCUUAGUGUACAGAAAAGAAUUAAUCAAAAUAUUGAGUUUUACAACAUAUUCAAAAAUCAUCGAAAUCACCCUAAUUAAUUAAUAUGUUGCUAUAAUAAAUACACUGAUAUGCCAAUACUUUUUGUAUACAUUGUAGAUAUAUAUAUAUAUAUAUAUUACUGAAAGCGAUACAUUGCAAGUUAUAGCUAAGUGCACGCGUACUCGACGAAUUUUCGACAUCGAUUUACUCAGAAUUAAAAUCUUGUCUGAAAAAUGAUUAUUAUAUAUUUUGUUUCUAUUUUAUCAUAUCAAGCCUUCUUAGAUUGUACUAUCUAUGAUUAUACCGUUCGAUUAUACCUUGUACUUAUAUAAAUUUCACACAUUUCACACAUUUAUAUAGUAGAUAUGUUAGUAGUAAAUUAUUUAAUAUUGAACAGGGAAUCUCCAUAUCUAAAUCUCCUUGCUGUUAUAUGUUAUGCACUAAAAUAUUUGUGAUAAAUAAUGCUCAUGCAUUCCUAUAUAAACAUUUCACGCUAUAUGAAA